RNAcentral lists this ribosomal RNA (688 nucleotides) under uncultured fungus. Its description in RNAcentral is "eukaryotic LSU rRNA". The stretch from base 215 to 368 matches the Rfam family "5.8S ribosomal RNA". Lineage: Eukaryota; Fungi. The record is from RNAcentral.
CUUGGUCAUUUAGAGGAAGUAAAAGUCGUAACAAGGUUUCCGUAGGUGAACCUGCGGAAGGAUCAUUCAUAAUAAGUGUUUUAUGGCACUUUUUAAAUCCAUAUCCACCUUGUGUGCAAUGUCAGUCGAUCUUCUUCAUGGAGAUCGGCCAAACAUCAACCUUAUUUUUUAACUCUUUGUCUGAAAAAUAUUAUGAAUAAACAAUUCAAAAUACAACUUUCAACAACGGAUCUCUUGGCUCUCGCAUCGAUGAAGAACGCAGCGAAAUGCGAUACGUAAUGUGAAUUGCAGAAUUCAGUGAAUCAUCGAAUCUUUGAACGCAUAUUGCGCUCUUUGGUAUUCCGAAGAGCAUGCUUGUUUGAGUAUCAGUAAACACCUCAAAGCUUUUGGAUUUUUUUUGAAAGCUUUGGACUUGAGCAAUCCCAACGCCAAUCUUUUUCAGAUCGGCGGCGGGUUGCUUGAAAUGCAGGUGCAGCUGGACUUUCUCCUGAGCUAAAAGCAUAUUCAUUUAGUCCCGUCAAACGGAUUAUUACUUUUGCUGCAGCUAACAUAAAGGGAGUUUGACCGUAUUGGCUGACUGAUGCAGGAUUUUACAAGGGUCGGCAACGAUUCUUGUUAAACUCGAUCUCAAAUCAAGUAAGACUACCCGCUGAACUUAAGCAUAUCAAUAAGCGGAGGAAAUCUUGGG